CAUUUUUCUGCUACAUCCUGCUCCCUUUUUCUCCCUCCCUUAGGUGUCGAACCCAAGGGCUCUUCUCAGCAGAGUGUCUGCAUGCCACACUCUGCUUUAGAGUCUGUUCCCUGGGGAACACAACCAGAGACUGAAAUAAUUGGUGGGCAGUGGGGAGCACAAAGGGCUGUUUUUGUUUCAUGUGAAGACGAUGAGCAUGCUAUGAACCCCGAAGAGCUGUUGUAUAAAGUAUCUGCCUGGAAACCCUGUUGCCUGGAGACCACUCUUGAAGAACAUCCACUGCUGUGGCCUCUUAAAGAUUUAAGACAUCUAAUGAACAGCUGACAGAAAUCAUCAAUUUGCUCCUCAGGACAUGGAUCGACCUGGAAGCCAUUAUCCUCAGCAAACUGAUGCAGGAACAGAAAACCAAACACUGCGCGUUCUCACUUGUAAGUGGGACCUGAACAAUGAGAACACAUGAACACAAGGAGGGGAACAACACAUACUGGGUCCCGUCAGGGGGUGCGGAGGGAGGGAGAGCAUCACGAUAAAUAGCUAAUGCAUGCGGGGCUUACUACCUAGGUGAUGGGUUGAUAGGUUCAGCAAACCACCAUGGUACAUGUUUACCUGUUUAUCUAUGUAACAAACCUGCACAUCCUGCACAUGUAUCUUGGAACUUAAAAUAAAAUAAAAUUAAAAACUUUUAAAAGAGAAUAAAGUAGGGAGAUGAAUUAAGAGGCACUAAUCCAGGUGAAACAGUUUUAAGAGAUUAAAUCAGCAUCCUUGGUUUCCCCAUCAAAUAACCCAUCAUGCUAACCAGCCCAGACUGAUAUUGCUUUACAUGUAUACGAAAGACAUCUGGUUAAAUCAAAUAGCACUGCCAAUCAAUUUUCACCUAGAGAUAUGCUCAGGUAUUUUCUUAGUUCUUACAUUUUGUAAAUAGGUGGUAUGCUGAAUGGACAUCAAAUUCAAUAACAAAUUCCCAUAAGAAACAUCAG
Molecule: long non-coding RNA, 977 nt
Filed under: Homo sapiens (human)
Lineage: Eukaryota; Metazoa; Chordata; Mammalia; Primates; Hominidae
Description: HSALNT0272196
Source: RNAcentral